Molecule: ribosomal RNA, 492 nt
Filed under: uncultured bacterium
Lineage: Bacteria
Description: partial 16S ribosomal RNA
Rfam family: Bacterial small subunit ribosomal RNA
Source: RNAcentral
AGUGAACGCUGGCGGUAGGCCUAACACAUGCAAGUCGAACGGCAGCACAGUAAGAGCUUGCUCUUACGGGUGGCGAGUGGCGGACGGGUGAGGAAUACAUCGGAAUCUACUUUUUCGUGGGGGAUAACGUAGGGAAACUUACGCUAAUACCGCAUACGACCUACGGGUGAAAGCAGGGGAUCUUCGGCCCUUGCGCGAUUGAAUGAGCCGAUGCCGGAUUAGCUAGUUGGCGGGGUAAAGGCCCACCAAGGCGACGAUCCGUAGCUGGUCUGAGAGGAUGAUCAGCCACACUGGAACUGAGACACGGUCCAGACUCCUACGGGAGGCAGCAGUGGGGAAUAUUGGACAAUGGGCGCAAGCCUGAUCCAGCCAUACCGCGUGGGUGAAGAAGGCCUUCGGGUUGUAAAGCCCUUUUGUUGGGAAAGAAAAGCAGCAGGUUAAUACCCCGCUGUUCUGACGGUACCCAAAGAAUAAGCACCGGCUAACUUCGUG